This 529-nucleotide ribosomal RNA is filed under the name Bifidobacterium bifidum. RNAcentral describes it as "bacterial SSU rRNA". It matches the Rfam family "Bacterial small subunit ribosomal RNA", at positions 159 to 700 of the family's 1533-position model. Lineage: Bacteria; Bacillati; Actinomycetota; Actinomycetes; Bifidobacteriales; Bifidobacteriaceae. The record is from RNAcentral.
GGUGGUAAUGCCGGAUGUUCCACAUGAUCGCAUGUGAUUGUGGGAAAGAUUCUAUCGGCGUGGGAUGGGGUCGCGUCCUAUCAGCUUGUUGGUGAGGUAACGGCUCACCAAGGCUUCGACGGGUAGCCGGCCUGAGAGGGCGACCGGCCACAUUGGGACUGAGAUACGGCCCAGACUCCUACGGGAGGCAGCAGUGGGGAAUAUUGCACAAUGGGCGCAAGCCUGAUGCAGCGACGCCGCGUGAGGGAUGGAGGCCUUCGGGUUGUAAACCUCUUUUGUUUGGGAGCAAGCCUUCGGGUGAGUGUACCUUUCGAAUAAGCGCCGGCUAACUACGUGCCAGCAGCCGCGGUAAUACGUAGGGCGCAAGCGUUAUCCGGAUUUAUUGGGCGUAAAGGGCUCGUAGGCGGCUCGUCGCGUCCGGUGUGAAAGUCCAUCGCUUAACGGUGGAUCUGCGCCGGGUACGGGCGGGCUGGAGUGCGGUAGGGGAGACUGGAAUUCCCGGUGUAACGGUGGAAUGUGUAGAUAUCGG